This 254-nucleotide unclassified non-coding RNA is filed under the name Hevea brasiliensis (rubber tree). The record is from RNAcentral. Lineage: Eukaryota; Viridiplantae; Streptophyta; Magnoliopsida; Malpighiales; Euphorbiaceae.
CAAGAUCCCCAACCUCUACCAUUGUGUGUGUUUGGCUGUACCUGUUUUGUUCAUGCUCACACCCCUGGGAAAGACAAACUCUAACUUAAAUCAGUUAAAUGUGUCUUUCUAAGAUAUUCUUAUUUUCAAAAAAGUUGUAAAUGUUAUGAUCCAACAACCAACAAAUAUUUUAUCUCAGCAGAUGUAACCUUCUUUGAAACAUCCCCAUAUUUUCACCAAACACUACAAUAAAAAGACUCAUUUUUGAUGUUUUA